AUUCCUUGCUGCAAUGUAAUUAUAUUUAAUUACAAGUGUGCCCCUGGUAGUCUUUAACUGAAGGGCACUGACUGGGUCACUGGUGAAGUUCCCCGCAGGAACUGAGUCAGACCCCAUCUCAGGGCCCUGCACAAGAUAGGUGCCUGCUCUAAGGCGUGGACCCUCGCCACAGCCCUGGCCCGUCUUGACGGGCGAGGGUUACUGUACUUGUCCCAACCGUACAGAUGAGAAAGCUGAGACUCAGGGCCAGCAACCCGGGUCCCAGCGGAGCGCCCGGCACACGCCGACACUUCAGCACCAGUGGCGGUGGCCACCACUGUGGGCGGAGAUGGCUGCGACGCGUGCGCAGGUGAAAUGGCCACCAGACCCAGGCUUUCUGGAAUGCAUUCAUUUUCUGCAGUUGAAAGGGACAAUCCCGGAUCUGAAAGAAAGAGCCACAGUGACUCCAAGAGUGGAGCCAGGGCAUGCUGGACACUGCAUAGCUAUGGCCACGUGUGUCACCUCCGAGGGAGAUGUGAGAGAAACGCAGAGGGAUCGCUUGUGACUGUGCCUUCUCGAUGUAUGAUGGACUGUUCUGCUCAAAUAGCAGCAGUAGGGCUUAUGGGAGCCAUUGUACAGUGACAGGAACAUACCAGGACACUGAGAAUAGCGUCAUGUCAUAAGGACUCAGAGCAGGUGGACCCUGCUGUGAUGCACAAAGGUGAGGGUGCAGCUGCCCAGGACACACUCAUGCAUGUUUGUGUGGACCAUGGAAGAUGGCAGGGGAAGAGCUGUCAGGUUGCUGGGGCAGAGGGUGCGCAUGAGUACUCGCCUGUAAGUCAUGUUGUAGAAUCACCUCGCACAGCCGCUGUAUCUUCCCACCAGCAUCACCAGAUAACUCCUUUAUCGUCACUUCAGUAAUGCUUGAUUUUGUCUGACUUUUUUAUGUUUACCAGUUCAGAUAAAGAGAAUUGCACUCUCAUCAUUGCUAUAAUGUACACUUUUUUGACUACUAAUGAGUCUGAGAAUCUUUAGAUACAUUUGUUAGUCAUUAAUGUUUUUUCUCUCUCUUUUUUUCUGUUUUUUGAGAUGGAGUCUUACUCUGUCGCCAGGCUGGAGUGCAGUGGCAUGAUCUCGGCUCACUGCAACCUCUGCCUCCUGGGUUUAAGUGAUUCUCCUGCCUCAGCCUCCUGAGUAGCUGGGGCUACAGGUGCCCCCCACCACACCCAGCUAAUUUUUGUAUGUUUAGUAGAGAUGGGGUUUCACCAUGUUGGCCAGGCUGGUCUCAAACUCCUGACCUCGUGAUCCGUCUGCCUCGGCCUCCCAGAGUGCUGGGAUUACAGGCGUGAGCCACCGCGCCCGGCCAUGUUUUCUCUUCUUAAUCUGUUUGUACUUUCAUUUACUUUUUCUUUCUUUUUUAAUAAGAGGUUUUUAUUUUGGAUAUCAAUCUUUAUAUCUUCAAUGAUGUUGUGAAUAUCUUUUUGUUCCCACUAGCUUUUCUUACAAACUUUUAUUCCUAGUGU
This is a long non-coding RNA of Homo sapiens (human), 1502 nucleotides long. Ensembl annotates it as glioblastoma down-regulated RNA. Its record names the gene GLIDR. Lineage: Eukaryota; Metazoa; Chordata; Mammalia; Primates; Hominidae. The record is from Ensembl.